RNAcentral lists this long non-coding RNA (246 nucleotides) under Capsella rubella. RNAcentral describes it as "long non-coding RNA (CRUB_LNC002625)". The record is from RNAcentral. Lineage: Eukaryota; Viridiplantae; Streptophyta; Magnoliopsida; Brassicales; Brassicaceae.
AAAUAAUAAAUGCAACAAGUGAAAUGGCCAUGAGACGUGUCUAACAAAACAAAAAGGAAAAUAUAAAAAGAAUAAAUUAAGGAAAAGAAAGAUUGUUUGCCCCCAGAAAAAAAAAAGGUAAACAUGGGAAUCGAACAGCACAACUGAUUCAACAUGGGGCACUUCAUAACCAGAAGAGCUAAGGGAUUAAAAUUGGUAACAUUAACUUCAAAGAAAUUUAAAGUAGUGUGGGGCACGUGCCCCACC